AUUGAACGCUGGCGGCAUGCCUUACACAUGCAAGUCGAACGGUAACGCGGGGCAACCUGGCGACGAGUGGCGAACGGGUGAGUAAUAUAUCGGAACGUGCCCAGUCGUGGGGGAUAACGUAGAGAAAUUUACGCUAAUACCGCAUACGAUCUAUGGAUGAAAGCGGGGGAUCGCAAGACCUCGCGCGAUUGGAGCGGCUGAUAUCAGAUUAGGUUGUUGGUGGGGUAAAAGCCCACCAAGCCGACGAUCUGUAGCUGGUUUGAGAGAACGACCAGCCACACUGGGACUGAGACACGGCCCAGACUCCUACGGGAGGCAGCAGUGGGGAAUUUUGGACAAUGGGCGCAGGCCUGAUCCAGCAAUGCCGCGUGCAGGAAGAAGGCCUUCGGGUUGUAAACUGCUUUUGUACGGAACGAAACAGCUCUUUCUAAUAAAGAGGGCUAAUGACGGUACCGUAAGAAUAAGCACCGGCUAACUACGUGCCAGCAGCCGCGGUAA
Molecule: ribosomal RNA, 498 nt
Filed under: uncultured bacterium
Lineage: Bacteria
Description: partial 16S ribosomal RNA
Rfam family: Bacterial small subunit ribosomal RNA
Source: RNAcentral